This 76-nucleotide small RNA is filed under the name Xanthomonas oryzae pv. oryzicola. Its description in RNAcentral is "sX9 sRNA". It matches the Rfam family "Xanthomonas sRNA sX9". Lineage: Bacteria; Pseudomonadati; Pseudomonadota; Gammaproteobacteria; Lysobacterales; Lysobacteraceae. The record is from RNAcentral.
AUGUACCACGCGUCCACUGCGGUUCUGGCGCACCGUCCGCGCCCAGCUGACCGCUGCUCGCGACGUGUUGUCAGCC